Molecule: long non-coding RNA, 477 nt
Organism: Cyprinus carpio (common carp)
Lineage: Eukaryota; Metazoa; Chordata; Actinopteri; Cypriniformes; Cyprinidae
Exons: 5
Source: RefSeq, a predicted model, not a curated record
AAGUUUGUUAUUAGUAUUGCCGACAAAGGCUGAUGAGCAUGCGCAGUUCGAUCACUUUUUUAUAUACAACGCCAUUUUCAUUUCUCCCGCUUCAUUCGAGUUGCCUCAAGCGGGGCCUGUUUAUUCCGUCAUGUUGAAAGCUCCGGUGGCGGCAAGUUAGUCAGUUUAAUUUUCCCGCCUGGUCUUAUGAGUUACCUCAGAGUUGCCUCAGGCGGCGCCCGGUUCAUGUUGGUCCGUCAUUGUUAUCACUCCGGUGGCUAGUUGGUCAGUUCAGCUUCUCCUGCUUCGUCUUCGAGCUGUCUUAAGUCAUUCAGUGGCAGUUUUUCCCGACAGUGUCAUGACUUAGGGUGAUGCAGUGCAAGAUAUGCGGAUUUGAACACCCUGCCCAGGAGGUCCUUUUGAAACAUGACCAAUUGUGCCACUACUAGGGAAGAUACCGCCAACUACCCUGCCUCUACACAGAUUGCAUCUGCUCCU